Molecule: long non-coding RNA, 418 nt
Filed under: Prunus persica (peach)
Lineage: Eukaryota; Viridiplantae; Streptophyta; Magnoliopsida; Rosales; Rosaceae
Description: long non-coding RNA (PPER_LNC002654)
Source: RNAcentral
AUCUUUUGCCCUUUAUUUCCACGUAAUAAUAUAAUAAUUGCAUUUUUCCUUUUUUCCUUUUUGUGCUUUUUUUCUUUUGCAGGUGUAAUCAAGAAGAGAGUAAAGUGAGCAAUGAAACCUAUAUCAUUGUUGUUGGAUUGCAUUUUAGGGUUGAUGAUCGGAUAUGGAAAGGAUCAUCUAAUUUUGGAAUGCUAAAUCUAUGAGAUAUUACUCAAAAGAGUUGUGUUUUUGUUGGGUUUUAAUUACAAUUUCAAUUAGUGAUCGCUUGUGUUAAUACGAGUUUUGAUAAGAGAUUCAACUUAGUUUUUUGAUAUUAUUAUUGGGCUCACCCAUGACUAUUAUCCAAUAAUAUGAAUUAAUUUAAUUUAUGAUUUUUCAGGUAUUGAAUUACAAAUUGUAAUGUGACUCUCAUAUAAAG